UACGGAGGAUGCAAGCGUUAUCCGGAAUGAUUGGGCGUAAAGCGUCCGCAGGUGGCUAUGUAAGUCUGCUGUUAAGGAGUCUAGCUCAACUAGAUAAGAGCAGUGGAAACUACAAGGCUAGAGUACGUUCGGGGCAGAGGGAAUUCCUGGUGUAGCGGUGAAAUGCGUAGAGAUCAGGAAGAACACCAGUGGCGAAGGCGCUCUGCUAGGCCGUAACUGACACUGAGGGACGAAAGCUAGGGGAGCGAAUGGG
RNAcentral lists this ribosomal RNA (253 nucleotides) under uncultured bacterium. RNAcentral describes it as "partial 16S ribosomal RNA". It matches the Rfam family "Bacterial small subunit ribosomal RNA", at positions 524 to 776 of the family's 1533-position model. The record is from RNAcentral.